Molecule: ribosomal RNA, 483 nt
Filed under: uncultured bacterium
Lineage: Bacteria
Description: partial 16S ribosomal RNA
Rfam family: Bacterial small subunit ribosomal RNA
Source: RNAcentral
GACGAACGCUGGCGGCGUGCUUAACACAUGCAAGUCGAACGCUGAAGCUCAGCUUUUGUUGGGUGGAUGAGUGGCGAACGGGUGAGUAACACGUGAGUAACCUGCCUCCUUCUUUGGGAUAACGCCCGGAAACGGGUGCUAAUACUGGAUAUUCACUGGUCUUCGCAUGGGGGUUGGUGGAAAGGGUUUUUCUGGUGGGGGAUGGGCUCGCGGCCUAUCAGCUUGUUGGUGGGGUGAUGGCCUACCAAGGCUUUGACGGGUAGCCGGCCUGAGAGGGUGACCGGUAACAGUGGGACUGAGAUACGGCCCAGACUCCUACGGGAGGCAGCAGUGGGGAAUAUUGCACAAUGGGCGCAAGCCUGAUGCAGCGACGCCGCGUGAGGGAUGGAGGCCUUCGGGUUGUGAACCUCUUUCGCUCAUGGUCAAGCCGCAACAAUGGUUGUGGUGAGGGUAGUGGGUAAAGAAGCGCCGGCUAACUACGUG